RNAcentral lists this unclassified non-coding RNA (191 nucleotides) under uncultured Rhizophagus. RNAcentral describes it as "partial internal transcribed spacer 2". The record is from RNAcentral. Lineage: Eukaryota; Fungi; Glomeromycota; Glomeromycetes; Glomerales; Glomeraceae.
UAAUAAAAAUCGGAGUGUCGCUCUCGUGAUGCACCGGAGGUUGGGUCAUCUUAGCUUUUUUCAGGUUAAGAGGCUUAAAAUUGAUCUUUUUGCGCGGUUUAGACGUACAUAAUUUUUUUAUUCGUCUAUAACGUCAAAUUUUUUACUAGGUGCGAACACGUCGCGUGAUCUCGUGCCUAUAAUAUCUCAUC